GAUGAACGCUAGCGGCAGGCCUAACACAUGCAAGUCGAGGGGGAAGUUACUUUCGGGUAACAGAGACCGGCGUACGGGUGCGUAGCGCGUAUACAAUCUGCCUUUCACUGGGGGAUAGCCCGAAGAAAUUUGGAUUAAUACCCCAUAGUAUAGUAAUACGGCAUCGUGAUACUAUUAAAGCUUAGGUGGUGAAAGAUGAGUAUGCGUUCUAUUAGUUAGUUGGAGAGGUAACGGCUCCCCAAGGCGAUGAUAGAUAGGGGUUCUGAGAGGGAUGUCCCCCACACUGGUACUGAGAUACGGACCAGACUCCUACGGGAGGCAGCAGUGAGGAAUAUUGGACAAUGGUCGGAAGACUGAUCCAGCCAUGCCGCGUGCAGGAUGAAGGUCUUAUGGAUUGUAAACUGCUUUUGUAAGGGAAGAAUAAGGGCUACGUGUAGUUUGAUGACGGUACCUUACGAAUAAGCAUCGGCUAACUCCGUGCCAGCAGCCGCGGUAAUACGGAGGAUGCGAGCGUUAUCCGGAAUCAUUGGGUUUAAAGGGUCUGUAGGCGGGCUGGUAAGUCAGAGGUGAAAGCGCUCAGCUCAACUGAGCAACUGCCUUUGAAACUGUUGGUCUUGAAUGGUUGUGAAGUAGUUGGAAUGUGUAGUGUAGCGGUGAAAUGCUUAGAUAUUACACAGAACACCGAUAGCGAAGGCAUAUUACUAACAAUUGAUUGACGCUGAUGGACGAAAGCGUGGGGAGCGAACAGG
Molecule: ribosomal RNA, 749 nt
Filed under: Capnocytophaga ochracea
Lineage: Bacteria; Pseudomonadati; Bacteroidota; Flavobacteriia; Flavobacteriales; Flavobacteriaceae
Description: bacterial SSU rRNA
Rfam family: Bacterial small subunit ribosomal RNA
Source: RNAcentral